GGUGGAUGCCUUGGCACUAAGAGCCGAUGAAAGACGUGAUAAGCUGCGAAAAGCUUCGGGGAGGAGCACAUAUCCAAUGAUCCGGAGAUAUCUGAAUGGGGAAACCCGGCAGAGGAAACCUCUGUCAGCGUGCAGUGAAUACAUAGCUGUACGUGGGGAACCCGGGGAACUGAAACAUCUAAGUACCCGGAGGAAGAGAAAGAAAAUUUAUCGAUUUCCAAAGUAGCGGCGAGCGAAAUGGAAAGAGGCCAAACCGGAGUGCGUGCACUCCGGGGUUCGGACCGCAUUUAAGAUCUGAUGAUCCUAGCAGAAAGGUUUUGGGAAAGCCUGCCGGAGAGGGUGAAAGCCCCGUAAGCGAAAGGAAAGCCAGCUGAGCGGUAUCCAGAGUACAUCGAGACACGAGAAACCUUGAUGGAAUGAGCGGGGACCACCCCGUAAGCCUAAAUACUACUUAGUGACCGAUAGCGCAUAGUACUGUGAAGGAAAGGUGAAAAGGACCCCGGGAGGGGAGUGAAAGAGAACCUGAAACCCUGUGUCUACAAGCUGUGGGACCUCUUUAUAUGAGGGACUGCGUACUUUUUGUAGAACGGUCCGGCGAGUUGUGCGUACUGGCGAGGUUAAGGACUUAAGGUCUGGAGCCGAAGUGAAAGCAAGCGUUAAUAGCGCGUCAAGUCAGUGAGUGCAGACCCGAAACCGGGUGACCUAUCCAUGUCCAGGUUGAAGCUUCCGUAAGAGGAAGUGGAGGACCGAACCCACAUCCGUUGAAAAGGGUGGGGAUGAGGUGUGGAUAGCGGAGAAAUUCCAAUCGAACCCGGAGAUAGCUGGUUCUCCUCGAAAUAGCUUUAGGGCUAGCCUCAUGAGAGUCUUAUGGAGGUAGAGCACUGAAUUGCCUAGGGGGCGUCAAAGCUUACCAAAGCAUAUCAAACUCCGAAUGCCAUCAAGAUGAUUCAUGGGAGUCAGACCAUACGAGAUAAGUUGGAUGGUCAAAAGGGAAAGAGCCCAGACCUACAGCUAAGGUCCCAAAGUGCGUGUUAAGUGGAAAAGGAUGUGGGAUUUCGAAGACAACUAGGAUGUUGGCUCAGAAGCAGCCACACAUUAAAAGAGUGCGUAAUAGCUCACUAGUCGAGAGGUCCUGCGCCGAAAAUGUCCGGGGCUGAAACACAACACCGAAGCUUAGGAAUGUAGUGAUACAUUGGUAGAGGAGCAUUCUUAAAGGAAUGAAGCAGUACCGGUAAGGAGCUGUGGACUUUUAAGAAGAGAGAAUGCCGGAAUGAGUAGCGAGAUGGAGGUGGGAAUCCUCCAGGCCGAAUAUCUAAGGUUUCCAGAGUAAAGCUGAUCUGCUCUGGGUAAGUCGGGACCUAAGGCGAGGUCGAAAGACGUAGUCGAUGGAUAACAGGUUGAAAUUCCUGUACCGCAUAUAAACAGAACUGUGGGGACACAGACAGGGAAUGGAAUCCGGGAAUGGAUAUCCCGGUGCAAGCGAGGUAGGAGUGCUGUUGGCAAAUCCGCAGCACGAUCUGAAGACGUGACGCGUACCGAACAUAAGUAGGGAAGUCCAGGCCCCUGGCUGUCAAGAAAAGCCGCUAUUGUUUUAUAUGUGCCCGUACCGCAAACCGACACAGGUGGAUGAGGAGAGAAUCCUAAGGCCGACGGGAGAAGUAUUGUUAAGGAACUCGGCAAAAUGACUCCGUAACUUCGGGAGAAGGAGUGCCAUGAGAGUGGCCGCAGAGAAAUGGCCCAAGCAACUGUUUAGCAAAAACACAGGUCUAUGCAAAACCGCAAGGUGAAGUAUAUGGGCUGACGCCUGCCCGGUGCUGGAAGGUUAAGGGGAGAGGUUAGCGCAAGCGAAGCUUUGAACUUAAGCCCCAGUAAACGGCGGCCGUAACGAUAACGGUCCUAAGGUAGCGAAAUUCCUUGUCGGGUAAGUUCCGACCCGCACGAA
RNAcentral lists this ribosomal RNA (1942 nucleotides) under human gut metagenome. RNAcentral's name for it is "bacterial LSU rRNA". It matches the Rfam family "Bacterial large subunit ribosomal RNA", at positions 23 to 1996 of the family's 2925-position model. The record is from RNAcentral.